GAGUGUGUGCUGUGACAGCAUUGCCGUGCAUGACCGGGGGGCUGUGACAGUUAACCUUCGCGGCUGCGGCUUCCUUUUGGGCCGGUUUUUUCUCUUUUAUUUAUUGGUGGUCCUGCAUAAGUCUCAGACGCCUGUACAUAUGUAAAGGCAGGCAUGUCCGCGUAGGUCGUCACGUCUAGAAGAUGAAGAUAUAGUAAACUCGACUAUUGUUUGCAAAAAAAUGAAACUGGCGCAACGACCUAUGCAGUCCUGCAAAGGCUUUCGAAGCCUAUUGAGUACCACGCAGCCGGAUAGUCAGUUGAAGCUGCGGGAGGACGGUUCAUAUAGCGCUUGAACCUACAAAGAGCAUGUUGUUUAAGCAUAUCUGCUACACAUAACGCACAAUAUUCACUACACGCUGGAAUCACGAGAUACGACUUAUACGGAAAUUCAACAUACGCGGUAUUUUGCAGCAGUUUUCGGUCCCCAUUAACCGUGUAUCUCGGGGACCGUCUGUACAUGGAAGUCCAAAACAGGAACUUAGCGACAAGAACCAUCGUUCUUGUCAACAAAAGACAAACGGAACUAACUUGGUGAGAGCAAUAACAUUGAAUCAUUCAACCCGGGACCAAAUGUACGAAACCCAUAACUUGUUUUGAGGAUAAAUAAAACCAACUUCAACCAUGGCAGGACUGUACCCUUCUUACAUCUAUUGACUUCCCAUUUCAAGAGUUUGUAUGUGUCCCUCUACCCUAAGGUAAGGCUUUUAAACUGCAACGUUUUCAGUAGGAGAAACCCCUUAAGGGUUUCUAAUAUCGUUGGCACGAUCAAAUGCCGAAGAGUUCGCUUUGAAA
Molecule: long non-coding RNA, 833 nt
Organism: Anopheles arabiensis
Lineage: Eukaryota; Metazoa; Arthropoda; Insecta; Diptera; Culicidae
Exons: 3
Source: RefSeq, a predicted model, not a curated record